ACUCAAAUGAAUAGACGGGGGCCCGCACAAGCAGUGGAGUAUGUGGUUUAAUUCGACGCUACGCGCAGAACCUUACCAACCCUUGACAUGUGUACCGAGAGGAUCAGAAAUGGACCUCGCAUUUAGUUGGGUACAACACAGGUGCUGCAUGGCUGUCGUCAGCUCGUGUCGUGAGAUGUUGGGUUAAGUCCCGCAACGAGCGCAACCCUCACCUUUAGUUGCCAUCAUUCAGUUGGGCACUCUAAAGGAACUGCCGGUGUAAGCCGGAGGAAGGUGGGGAUGACGUCAAGUCCUCAUGGCCCUUACGGGUUGGGCUACACACGUACUACAAUGGCAAUUACAGCGGGAAGCAAGCGUGCGAGCGCAAGCGGAUCCCAAAAGGUUGCCUCAGUUCGGAUUGUUCUCUGCAACUCGAGAACAUGAAGUUGGAAUUGCUAGUAAUCGCGGAUCAGAAGGUCGCGGUGAAUACGUUCCCGGGCCUUGCACACACCGCCCGU
This 497-nucleotide ribosomal RNA is filed under the name uncultured bacterium. RNAcentral's name for it is "bacterial SSU rRNA". It matches the Rfam family "Bacterial small subunit ribosomal RNA", at positions 899 to 1397 of the family's 1533-position model. The record is from RNAcentral.